UCAGGCGGUGAUGACGCACUUGCCCUCACUGAGAACAUUGUUCAAUAAUGAGAACCCCCAACGUACUCAAAAUAUCUGAGCCUGA
Molecule: small nucleolar RNA, 85 nt
Organism: Rana temporaria (common frog)
Lineage: Eukaryota; Metazoa; Chordata; Amphibia; Anura; Ranidae
Product: small nucleolar RNA SNORD103/SNORD85
Exons: 1
Source: RefSeq, a predicted model, not a curated record